GGAGAGGUGGGUGAGUGGCUGAAACCACCGGUUUGCUAAACCGACGUACUCUUAACGGGGUACCGCGGGUUCGAAUCCCGCCCUCUCCGCCA
RNAcentral lists this transfer RNA (92 nucleotides) under Bacteroidia bacterium. Its description in RNAcentral is "tRNA-Ser". It matches the Rfam family "tRNA". From Rfam's summary of the family: Transfer RNA (tRNA) molecules are approximately 80 nucleotides in length. Lineage: Bacteria; Pseudomonadati; Bacteroidota; Bacteroidia. The record is from RNAcentral.